AACGAACGCUGGCGGCAUGCCUAACACAUGCAAGUCGAACGAGACCUUCGGGUCUAGUGGCGCACGGGUGCGUAACGCGUGGGAACCUGCCCUUAGGUUCGGAAUAACUCCCCGAAAGGGGUGCUAAUACCGGAUAAUGUCUUCGGACCAAAGAUUUAUCGCCUUUGGAUGGGCCCGCGUUGGAUUAGCUAGUUGGUAGGGUAAAAGCCAACCAAGGCGACGAUCCAUAGCUGGUCGGAGAGGAUGAUCAGCCACACUGGGACUGAGACACGGCCCAGACUGCUACGGGAGGCAGCAGUGGGGAAUAUUGGACAAUGGGCGAAAGCCUGAUCCAGCAAUGCCGCGUGAGUGAUGAAGGCCUUAGGGUUGUAAAGCUCUUUUACCCGGGAUGAUAAUGACAGUACCGGGAGAAUAAGCUCCGGCUAACUCCGUG
Molecule: ribosomal RNA, 433 nt
Filed under: uncultured bacterium
Lineage: Bacteria
Description: partial 16S ribosomal RNA
Rfam family: Bacterial small subunit ribosomal RNA
Source: RNAcentral